Molecule: ribosomal RNA, 480 nt
Filed under: uncultured bacterium
Lineage: Bacteria
Description: bacterial SSU rRNA
Rfam family: Bacterial small subunit ribosomal RNA
Source: RNAcentral
UUGAACGCUGGCGGCAUGCUUUACACAUGCAAGUCGAACGGUAACAGGUCUUCGGAUGCUGACGAGUGGCGAACGGGUGAGUAAUGCAUCGGAACGUGCCCAGUCGUGGGGGAUAACGCAGCGAAAGCUGUGCUAAUACCGCAUACGAUCUAUGGAUGAAAGCGGGGGAUCGCAAGACCUCGCGCGAUUGGAGCGGCCGAUGUCAGAUUAGCUAGUUGGUGGGGUAAAGGCCCACCAAGGCGACGAUCUGUAGCUGGUCUGAGAGGACGACCAGCCACACUGGGACUGAGACACGGCCCAGACUCCUACGGGAGGCAGCAGUGGGGAAUUUUGGACAAUGGGCGCAAGCCUGAUCCAGCCAUGCCGCGUGAGUGAAGAAGGCCUUCGGGUUGUAAAGCUCUUUCGGCCGGGAAGAAAUCGUGGUCUCUAACAUAGGCCAUGGAUGACGGUACCGGACUAAGAAGCACCGGCUAACUACGU